UACCCUGGGGAUAACAGGCUUAUCUCCCCCAAGAGUCCACAUCGACGGGGAGGUUUGGCACCUCGAUGUCGGCUCAUCACAUCCUGGGGCUGUAGUAGGUCCCAAGGGUUGGGCUGUUCGCCCAUUAAAGUGGUACGCGAGCUGGGUUCAGAACGUCGUGAGACAGUUCGGUCCCUAUCCGUCGCAGGCGUAGGAAAUUUGAGAAGACCUGUCCUUAGUACGAGAGGACCGGGAUGGACGUACCUCUGGUGUACCAGUUGUCCUGCCAAGGGCAUGGCUGGGUAGCUAUGUACGGAAUGGAUAAGCGCUGAAAGCAUCUAAGCGCGAAGCCAACUUCAAGAUAAGAUUUCCCACCGCAAGGGUAAGACCCCAGAAAGACUAUCUGGUUGAUAGGUCGAAGGUGUAAGUGCAGCAAUGUAUUUAGCUUAUCGAUACUAAUAGGUCGAGGACUUGACCAAU
This 459-nucleotide ribosomal RNA is filed under the name Clostridioides difficile. Its description in RNAcentral is "bacterial LSU rRNA". It matches the Rfam family "Bacterial large subunit ribosomal RNA", at positions 2464 to 2925 of the family's 2925-position model. The record is from RNAcentral. Lineage: Bacteria; Bacillati; Bacillota; Clostridia; Peptostreptococcales; Peptostreptococcaceae.